Molecule: small RNA, 93 nt
Filed under: Flavobacterium noncentrifugens
Lineage: Bacteria; Pseudomonadati; Bacteroidota; Flavobacteriia; Flavobacteriales; Flavobacteriaceae
Description: Flavo-1 RNA
Rfam family: Flavo-1 RNA
Source: Rfam by way of RNAcentral
CUGUGUUAGCGAUAGCAGCGGAAAUCCUUUUUGUGUCAUUGCGAGGCACGAAGCAAUCAUGAAAAAAGAUUGCAGCGGAUAGCGCGGGCCGCA